Molecule: ribosomal RNA, 375 nt
Filed under: Chaetomiaceae sp.
Lineage: Eukaryota; Fungi; Ascomycota; Sordariomycetes; Sordariales; Chaetomiaceae
Description: eukaryotic LSU rRNA
Rfam family: Eukaryotic large subunit ribosomal RNA (bases 319-375)
Source: RNAcentral
UGGGGACCUGCGGCUGCCGCAGGCCCUGAAAACCAGUGGCGGGCUCGCUCGUCACUCCGAGCGUAGUAGUUACAUCUCGCUCCGGGCGUGCUGCGGGGUCCGGCCGUUAAAAACCUUUUUUUCCCCAGGUUGACCUCGGAUCAGGGAGGAAGACCCCCUGAACUUAAGCAUAUCAAUAAGCGGAGGGNUGGGGACCUGCGGCUGCCGCAGGCCCUGAAAACCAGUGGCGGGCUCGCUAGUCACUCCGAGCGUAGUAGUUACAUCUCGCUCAGGGCGUGCUGCGGGUUCCGGCCGUUAAAAGCCUUAUUUACCCAAGGUUGACCUCGGAUCAGGUAGGAAGACCCGCUGAACUUAAGCAUAUCAAUAAGCGGAGGA